AGUGCGUACUAGGUUCUUCGGCUUUUCGUCGGUUUUCUUGUUGUGGCCUUUAUUGGUGUCGGCAAGUGGCUGACAAUUUUACUUUGAACAAAUCAGAGUGCUCAAAACAGGCGUUUCGCUUGUAUGUUUUUGCAUGGAAUAAUAGAAUAUGACUUCGGUCUAGUUUUAUUGGUUUUAUUGAUCGUUGUAAUGAUUAAAAGAGACAAACGGGGGCAUUCGUAUUGUUGCGUGAGAGGUGAAAUUCUUGGACCGCAGCAAGACGACCUACAGCGAAAGCAUUUGCCAAGCUUGUCUUCAUUAAUCAAGAACGAAAGUCAGAGGAUCGUAGGUGAUCAGAUACCGCCCUAGUUCUGACCGUAAACGAUGCCAACUAGCGAUUCGCCGGUGGAAUAUUUGCCCUGGCGAGGAGCUUCCCGGAAACGAAAGUCUUCCGGUUCCGGGGGAAGUAUGGUUGCAAAGCUGAAACUUAAAGGAAUUGACGGAAGGGCACCACCAGGAGUGGAGCCUGCGGCUUAAUUUGACUCAACACGGGAAAACUCACCCGGCCCGGACACUAUAAGGAUUGACAGAUUGAUAGCUCUUUCAUGAUUUGGUGGAUGGUGGUGCAUGGCCGUUCUUAGUUCGUGGAGUGAUUUGUCUGGUUUAUUCCGAUAACGAGCGAGACUCUAGCCUACUAAAUAGUUCGCUCAUUGUUUAUUGUGUAGCGGUACUUCCUAGAGGAAUUUUCGG
Molecule: ribosomal RNA, 729 nt
Filed under: uncultured eukaryote
Lineage: Eukaryota
Description: SSU rRNA
Rfam family: Eukaryotic small subunit ribosomal RNA
Source: RNAcentral